AUUGAACGCUGGCGGCAUGCCUUACACAUGCAAGUCGAACGGCAGCACGGGUUCUUGCACCUGGUGGCGAGUGGCGAACGGGUGAGUAAUACAUCGGAACAUGUCCUGUAGUGGGGGAUAGCCCGGCGAAAGCCGGAUUAAUACCGCAUACGAUCUACGGAUGAAAGCGGGGGACCUUCGGGCCUCGCGCUAUAGGGUUGGCCGAUGGCUGAUUAGCUAGUUGGUGGGGUAAAGGCCUACCAAGGCGACGAUCAGUCGCUGGUCUGAGAGGGCGACCAGCCACACUGGGACUGAGACGCGGCCCAGACUCCUACGGGAGGCAGCAGUGGGGAAUUUUGGACAAUGGGCGAAAGCCUGAUCCAGCAAUGCCGCGUGUGUGAAGAAGGCCUUCGGGUUGUAAAGCACUUUUGGCCGGAAAGAAAUCCUUGGCCCUAAUACGGUCGGGGGAUGACGGUACCGGAAGAAUAAGCACCGGCUAACUACGUG
Molecule: ribosomal RNA, 486 nt
Filed under: uncultured bacterium
Lineage: Bacteria
Description: partial 16S ribosomal RNA
Rfam family: Bacterial small subunit ribosomal RNA
Source: RNAcentral